GAUGAACGCUAGCUACAGGCUUAACACAUGCAAGUCGAGGGGCAGCAUGUCGGUUGCUUGCAACCGACGAUGGCGACCGGCGCACGGGUGAGUAACGCGUAUCCAACCUGGCCCAUACCACGGGAUAGCCCGUCGAAAGGCGGAUUAAUACCGUAUGCUGUCAUUAAGAUGCAUAUAUUGAUGACGAAAGGACUGGCGGUAUGGGAUGGGGAUGCGUCUGAUUAGCUUGUUGGCGGGGUAACGGCCCACCAAGGCGACGAUCAGUAGGGGUUCUGAGAGGAAGGUCCCCCACAUUGGAACUGAGACACGGUCCAAACUCCUACGGGAGGCAGCAGUGAGGAAUAUUGGUCAAUGGGCGCAAGCCUGAACCAGCCAAGUAGCGUGAGGGAAGACUGCCCUACGGGUUGUAAACCUCUUUUGUUUGGGAAUAAAGUGCGGGACGUGUCCCGCAUUGCAUGUACCAUUUGAAUAAGGACCGGCUAAUUCCGUGCCAGCAGCCG
This 500-nucleotide ribosomal RNA is filed under the name uncultured bacterium. Its description in RNAcentral is "bacterial SSU rRNA". It matches the Rfam family "Bacterial small subunit ribosomal RNA", at positions 28 to 517 of the family's 1533-position model. The record is from RNAcentral.